This is a long non-coding RNA of Hippocampus comes (tiger tail seahorse), 106 nucleotides long. RefSeq lists it as uncharacterized. NCBI's taxonomy places the organism in Eukaryota, Metazoa, Chordata, Actinopteri, Syngnathiformes, Syngnathidae. The transcript is spliced from 3 exons. The record is from RefSeq and is a predicted model, not a curated record.
UUUGCAUCCAUAAAAAAAGUUGUUUCUUUUUAAUUUGAGUCAUUAUUCGUAAAGUGGCAGACUUUUACUUUCAACCCGUCCAUUUCCAAACGUGCCCGCACUUGCA